Long non-coding RNA from Orbicella faveolata, 590 nucleotides. NCBI's taxonomy places the organism in Eukaryota, Metazoa, Cnidaria, Anthozoa, Scleractinia, Merulinidae. The record is from RefSeq and is a predicted model, not a curated record.
GCACUUGCAUGUGCUGUUUUCACUAGGAGUGUUAUUGUUUUCCAUCAAUCAUAUCAAUGCUAGACUGUCUAAUGCUCUCCUGGCAUUUUUGCGUAGCAGUGCAUGUUUACAGAGAGGACAUUCUGAGACUACAUUGUGUUACUCAAGAACACAAUAAAAUUAGUGCCACCCUCCCCACCCAUGGCAAGCAUGCAAAACAACUGCAUUGAAAUAUUUGCUAUAACUUGGUUAAUUUAUUGCAUUGCAGAUACCUUCAAGCUGCUUUGCAGACCAUCUGUAGAGGUCUUUCAGAUCAAAAUCCUUUGGUUCAGAAUGCUGCUCUGUUUGCACUGGGUCAGUACUCAGAGUACUUGCAGCCAGAUAUCAGUAAAUACAGUGCCGAUAUACUUCCACUUCUGUUUGAGAAACUUGUGAAUACUUCAGAAAGUGAACAAAAAUCAUCCAGCGUAACAAGGACUUAUUAUGCACUGGAAACGUUUUGUGAAAAUCUAGGUAAUGUUGGUCUUCUACGGGUUUUGUUUAAAACACAGAACUACUUGAUGGGAAUUUUAAGCUCCAUUAGAAAACAGCCCUAAGAAAAUACGUGCGCU